AACAUAGGCAGGGUGCAGCACAGCAGGACGCAGUGCAGCAGGACGCAGUGGGGGCAGGGUGCAAUGCAGGCAGGGUGCAGUGCAGACAGCAUGGGCAGGGUGCAGCGCAGCAGGACGCAGUGCAGCAGGACGCAGCGGGGGCAGGACGCAGCGCGGGCAGGGUUAACGGCGCGCCAGGCCCCACCGCCCGGGGCUGCAGUGGAAGGAAUGCUUCAGAAGCAAUUCUUUUCAUUGCUGACAUAAAAAGCCGCCCCGGUGCCAAACCGCAGCCCUGGCAGGGCAUUGCUGGCCCUUUUGAUCCCACCGCGGCUCCCACAAACCCAGCUUUGCCGCCCCUUGAAACAGCAAGAAAGAGGCUGGGGCCGGGCUCCAGCUCCAGAUGGCCAGACCUUAACUACACGGGGACUCGGGAGCAAUGGCAAACUUGGUGCUUGGAAAAACUGAGGCACCCAGCGAGCUUGCAAGGAAUGGGAUGGAGCACACGGCACAGCCAGGGCCCUCCGGCAGCCCCGCAGCCUGCUCGGAGCCAAUGCACGGCACUGCCUGCACCCCCCAUCCCGCCCCUCCCCGUGGCCUGGGCUGCAGCUCCUGGGGUUGUGGCCAGCUCGGGCCCCCCUCGGCGCUGCUCCCCAGCCUCCUGCCAGUCCCCGGCUCCACUCCCCUGCGCCGGCCCCAGCGCCCUGGCAGUUGCAGCGCAGGGUUUGUGGCAAGAGGAUGUGGGAACGGCUUAAUCCGGAGCAGAGCAGGAGCCUCGGCACCGUCGCUUUUAACCCAUGUCUGGAGCAUGCCUCAUCCCCACGGGCCGGCCCCAAGCGGCAGCCUCAACCCCAGCCCCGGCCCCAGCCCCCCCCUGCUCUGGUGUGCAAUGCCGGCACAGGGUGGGCAAUGCUGGUACAGGGUGUGCAAUGUCCACAUGGGGUGUGCAAUGCUGGCAUGAGGUGUGCAAUGCUGGUACAGGGCGGGCAACGCUGGUACAGGGUGUGCAACGCUGGUACAGGGUGGGCAAUGCUGGUAUGUGGUGGGCAAUGUCCCCAUGGGGUGUGCAAUGCUGGCACGGGGUGUGCAAUGCUGGCACGGGGUGUGCAACACUGGUACGGGGUGGACAAUGUGGGCACGAGGCACACAAUGCAGGCAGGGAGCAGGCAAUGCCAGUAUGGGAUGGGCAAUGCUGGCACGGGGUGCACAAUGCCAGUAUGGGGGGAGCAAUACUGGCAUGGGAUGCACGAUGCCGGCAUGGGGUGGGCAACGCUGGCACAGGGUGUGCAAUGCUGGCAUGAGGUGGGCAAUGCUAGCACAGGUUGCACAACGCCGGUAUGGGGUGCACGAUGCCAGUAUGGGGGGAGCAAUWCUGGCAUGGGAUGCACGAUGCCRGCAUGGGGUGGGCAAYGCUGGCAUGGGGUGCACAACACCGGUAUGGGGUGGGCAAUGUUGGCACAGGGUGUGCAAUGCUGGCAUGGGGCAGGCAAUGCCAGUAUGGGGUGGGCAAUGCUGGCAUGGGAUGCACGAUGCCGGCAUGGGGUGGGCAAUGCUGGCAUGGGGUGCAUGACGCCGUUACGGGAUGGGCAACGCUGGCACAGGGUGUGCAAUGCUGGCAUGGGGUGGGCAAUGCCAGUAUGGGGGGAGCAAUACUGGCAUGGGGUGCACGAUGCCGGCACGGGGCGCACGAUGCCGGCACGGGGCAGGCAAUGCCAUCACGCCGCCCCUUGCAUGAGGCCAGGCGCAGGCAGCCCCGGGGACCGCGCUGCCGGGGCUGGCAGGGUGCAUCGUCCCACCGCAGGCACGGCGGGUUCCCGGCGCUGGCGCCUGCCCCGGCGCUUGGCUCCAGGGAGCCGCAGCCCGGGCUCAGCCACACAAAGGAGCGGAAAUGCCACCUCGGCGCCGCUGCCAGCGGGAGCCCGGCCAAGGGGGGACGCCCAAGCGGCCCGACGGGCACCCGGUGUGGCCACAGCACCCUCUAGUGCCACCGCCCCGGGGGCACCGACGCCGGAGGGGUGCCGGGCCCCAACCCCGGAGCCGCCACCGCCGACGAGGUCCCCAAACCCAGACCCGCCACGGACGUGGCCCUCCUCCCCGGCACGAGCCCUUCGUGGCUGCUGCCACCGUGCGGCAGCUCCGCUGCGCGCCGGGGAGAGGACGCUGGUGGCUGCAGCUGUCCCCGUCCCACUGCCUCUGCAGCCACUGCUGCAGCUACAGCUGCCACCAUGCCGCCAGUCCGGCACCCAGGCCGGACCCCCACCCCCAGGCUGCUUUGGAGACCGGAGCACGUUUCCCAGUUUCCAGGACACGGCAGGUUUAAAGCAGAGAGAUGAGAGAUGCCGGAGCUGGAACCUGACUCCACUGCACGAAGCAACACAAGAGGGACAAGGCAGAACCCACAGAAUGGUUGAGGUCAGCAGGAACCUCUGGAGAUCAUCUAGUCCAACCCCCCUGCUCAAGCAGGGUCACCUAGAGCACGUUGCACAGGACCCUGUCCACAUGGCUUUUGAACAUCUCUAAGGCAGGAUGCUCCAUAACCUCUUUGGGCAACCUGUUCCAGUGCUCUGUCACCCUCGCAGUGAAGAAGUUUUUCCUCAUGUUCAGAUGGAAUUUCCUGUGUUUCAGUUUGUGCCCGGUGCCUCUUGUCCUAUCGCUGGGCACCACUGACAAGAGUCUGGCUCCAUCCUCUUGACACCCUCCCUUCAGAUACUUGUACAUG
This 2695-nucleotide long non-coding RNA is filed under the name Apteryx haastii (Great spotted kiwi). RNAcentral describes it as "lncRNA (ENSAHAG00000007807.1)". Lineage: Eukaryota; Metazoa; Chordata; Aves; Apterygiformes; Apterygidae. The record is from RNAcentral.